UCCGUACAAAAUUAUAAUGCCUUCUCUCAUC
This 31-nucleotide non-coding RNA is filed under the name Rattus norvegicus (Norway rat). The record is from RNAcentral. Lineage: Eukaryota; Metazoa; Chordata; Mammalia; Rodentia; Muridae.